RNAcentral lists this long non-coding RNA (358 nucleotides) under Dasypus novemcinctus (nine-banded armadillo). Its description in RNAcentral is "lncRNA (ENSDNOG00000051584.1)". The record is from RNAcentral. Lineage: Eukaryota; Metazoa; Chordata; Mammalia; Cingulata; Dasypodidae.
UGUUACAGCCACAGGACUCCUUCUGGGGGGCCUGGAUGGUAUCUGAGAGGCUUCCUUCGCAGCUGUGGUGUGGCCUGGGAUUCCAUCGGUUGUGUCUGCCCUUUUUCAGUACCUACAUGAAGAGCUUUUGGUGAAACAUAUCCAACUACUGGCUUCCCCUGUACGAACCACCCACUCAACUGUGAAUACCAGCCGUCCUGGCUCCAUGACCACUUCUGCCUCCAUGAUGACUGCUUCCUCCAUGACUCCUGCUUCCACCAUGACCAGCACUCCUUUCAUGGAAACCAGUAAGAUCCCCCCAUUCUAAAGUUUUCUUUAUCUGCCUAUGGAAUAUUUAUGUUCUCUCAUUUAAGUGUAG